UGAGUACGAGAUGCUACGGCAUUGAAGCAGUCUAUGUCAUACUUCCAAGAAAAGCUUGCAAUGUCAUAAACAAAUAAUGCCUGUACCAUAACCGACACAGGUGGGUAGGUAGAGUAUACUAAGGGGCGCGAGAUAACUCUCUCUAAGGAACUCGGCAAAAUGACUCCGUAACUUCGGGAGAAGGAGUGCCUUAUUUUAUAAGGUUGCAAUAACAAGAUCCAAGCAACUGUUUACCAAAAACACAGGUCUCCGCUAAGUCGUAAGACGAUGUAUGGGGGCUGACGCCUGCCCAGUGCCAGAAGGUUAAAGAAGUUGGUUAGCAUUAGCGAAGCUGAUAACUGAAGCCCUGGUGAACGGCGGCCGUAACUAUAGCGGUCCUAAGGUAGCGAAAUUCCUUGUCGGGUAAGUUCCGACCCGCACGAAAGGCGUAAUGAUUUGGAUACUGUCUCGGAGAGGGGCUCGGUGAAAUAGACUUGUCUGUGAAGAUGCGGACUACCUGCACCUGGACAGAAAGACCCUAUGAAGCUUUACUGUAACUUGAGAUUGAAAUUGGACUUUAUUUGCGCAGUAUAGGUGGGAGACAUUGAAAGUAUUCUUGCGGGAAUAUUGGAGUCAUCAGUGAGAUACCACUCUUAUAAUGUUAGAUUUCUAACUUUGUAUCAUUAUCUGGUCAAAGAACAGUUUCAGGCGGGCAGUUUGACUGGGGCGGUCGCCUCCCAAACGGUAACGGAGGCGCACAAAGGUUUCCUCUGAACGUGUAGAAAUCGUAUCUAGAGUGUAAAGGCAUAAGGAAGCUUGACUGUGAGACCUACAAGUCGAGCAGGGACGAAAGUCGGUCUUAGUGAUCUGACGGUGCUGAGUGGAAAGGCCGUCACUCAACGGAUAAAAGUUACUCUAAGGAUAACAGGCUGAUCUCCCCCAAGAGUUCACAUCGACGGGGAGGUUUGGCACCUCGAUGUCGGCUCAUCGCAUCCUGGGGCGGUAGUACGUCCCAAGGGUUGGGCUGUUCGCCCAUGAAAGCGGUACGCGAGCUGGGUUCAGAACGUCGUGAGACAGUUCGGUCCAUAUCCGGUGUAGGCGUUAGAAUAUUGAGAGGAGCCUUCUUUAGUACGAGAGGACCGAGAAGGACAUACCUCUGGUGUACCAGUUAUCGUGCCAACGGUAAACGCUGGGUAGCUAUGUAUGGAGAGGAUAACCGCUGAAAGCAUCUAAGUGGGAAGCCCACCUCAAGAUAAGUAUUCUC
RNAcentral lists this ribosomal RNA (1243 nucleotides) under metagenome. Its description in RNAcentral is "bacterial LSU rRNA". It matches the Rfam family "Bacterial large subunit ribosomal RNA", at positions 1564 to 2815 of the family's 2925-position model. The record is from RNAcentral.